CCUACGGGAGGCUGCAGUAGGGAAUAUUGCUCAAUGGGGGAAACCCUGAAGCAGCCACGCCGCGUGGAGGAUGAAGGUUUUCGGAUUGUAAACUCCUUUUGUUAGAGGAGAUAAUGACGGUAUCUAACGAAUAAGCACCGGCUAACUCCGUGCCAGCAGCCGCGGUAAUACGGAGGGUGCAAGCGUUACUCGGAAUCACUGGGCGUAAAGGGCGUGUAGGCGGGAUAGCAAGUCAGAUGUGAAAUCCUAUGGCUUAACCAUGGAACUGCAUUUGAAACUGUUGUUCUAGAGUGUGGGAGAGGUAGGUGGAAUUCAUGGUGGAGGGGUAAAAUGCUUAGAGAUCAAGAAGAACACCGAUUGCGAAGGCGAGCUGCAGGAGUAUAUCUGACGCUGAGGCGCGAAAGCGUGGGUAUCAAACAGGAUUAGAUACCCGAGUAGUC
Molecule: ribosomal RNA, 440 nt
Filed under: uncultured bacterium
Lineage: Bacteria
Description: partial 16S ribosomal RNA
Rfam family: Bacterial small subunit ribosomal RNA
Source: RNAcentral